RNAcentral lists this transfer RNA (75 nucleotides) under Candidatus Omnitrophota bacterium. RNAcentral's name for it is "Candidatus Omnitrophica bacterium (sediment metagenome) tRNA-Asp". It matches the Rfam family "tRNA". Rfam says of the family: Transfer RNA (tRNA) molecules are approximately 80 nucleotides in length. Their secondary structure includes four short double-helical elements and three loops (D, anti-codon, and T loops). The record is from RNAcentral. Lineage: Bacteria; Pseudomonadati; Candidatus Omnitrophota.
GGACUCGUGGUGUAGUCUGGUUAACAUGCAAGAUUGUCGAUCUUGAGAUCGCGGGUUCAAAUCCCGUCGAGUCCG